ACUAUCGUUAACUGAAUACAUAGGUUAACGAGGCGAACCGGGGGAACUGAAACAUCUAAGUACCCCGAGGAAAAGAAAUCAACCGAGAUUCCCCCAGUAGCGGCGAGCGAACGGGGAGCAGCCCAGAGUCUGAAUCAGCUUGUGUGUUAGUGGAACGGUCUGGAAAGUCCGACGGUACAGGGUGAUAGUCCCGUACACCAAAAUGCACAGGUUGUGAACUCGAAGAGUAGGGCGGGACACGUGGUAUCCUGUCUGAAUAUGGGGGGACCAUCCUCCAAGGCUAAAUACUCCUGACUGACCGAUAGUGAACCAGUACCGUGAGGGAAAGGCGAAAAGAACCCCGGCGAGGGGAGUGAAAAAGAACCUGAAACCGUGUACGUACAAGCAGUGGGAGCACCUUCGGGUGUGACUGCGUACCUUUUGUAUAAUGGGUCAGCGACUUAUAUUCUGUAGCAAGGUUAACCGUAUAGGGGAGCCGCAGGGAAACCGAGUCUUAACUGGGCGUUAAGUUGCAGGGUAUAGACCCGAAACCCGGUGAUCUAGCCAUGGGCAGGUUGAAGGUUGGGUAACACUAACUGGAGGACCGAACCGACUAAUGUUGAAAAAUUAGCGGAUGACUUGUGGCUGGGGGUGAAAGGCCAAUCAAACCGGGAGAUAGCUGGUUCUCCCCGAAAGCUAUUUAGGUAGCGCCUCGUGAAUUCAUCUUCGGGGGUAGAGCACUGUUUCGGCUAGGGGGUCAUCCCGACUUACCAACCCGAUGCAAACUACGAAUACCGAAGAAUGUUAUCACGGGAGACACACGGCGGGUGCUAACGUCCGUCGUGAAGAGGGAAACAACCCAGACCGCCAGCUAAGGUCCCAAAGUCAUGGUUAAGUGGGAAACGAUGUGGGAAGGCACAGACAGCCAGGAUGUUGGCUUAGAAGCAGCCAUCAUUUAAAGAAAGCGUAAUAGCUCACUGGUCGAGUCGGCCUGCGCGGAAGAUGUAACGGGGCUAAACCAUGCACCGAAGCUGCGGCAGCGACACUAUGUGUUGUUGGGUAGGGGAGCGUUCUGUAAGCCUGCGAAGGUGNUGCUGGAGGUAUCAGAAGUGCGAAUGCUGACAUAAGUAACGAUAAAGCGGGUGAAAAGCCCGCUCGCCGGAAGACCAAGGGUUCCUGUCCAACGUUAAUCGGGGCAGGGUGAGUCGACCCCUAAGGCGAGGCCGAAAGGCGUAGUCGAUGGGAAACAGGUUAAUAUUCCUGUACUUGGUGUUACUGCGAAGGGGGGACGGAGAAGGCUAUGUUAGCCGGGCGACGGUUGUCCCGGUUUAAGCAUGUAGGCUGGUUAUCCAGGCAAAUCCGGAUAAUCAAGGCUGAGGUGUGAUGACGAGGCACUACGGUGCUGAAGUAACAAAUGCCCUGCUUCCAGGAAAAGCCUCUAAGCAUCAGGUAACAUCAAAUCGUACCCCAAACCGACACAGGUGGUCAGGUAGAGAAUACCAAGGCGCUUGAGAGAACUCGGGUGAAGGAACUAGGCAAAAUGGUGCCGUAACUUCGGGAGAAGGCACGCUGGUGUGUAGGUGAAGUCCCUGCGGAUGGAGCUGAGACCAGUCGAAGAUACCAGCUGGCUGCAACUGUUUAUUAAAAACACAGCACUGUGCAAACACGAAAGUGGACGUAUACGGUGUGACGCCUGCCCGGUGCCGGAAGGUUAAUUGAUGGGGUUAUCCGUAAGGAGAAGCUCUUGAUCGAAGCCCCGGUAAACGGCGGCCGUAACUAUAACGGUCCUAAGGUAGCGAAAUUCCUUGUCGGGUAAGUUCCGACCUGCACGAAUGGCGUAAUGAUGGCCAGGCUGUCUCCACCCGAGACUCAGUGAAAUUGAACUCGCUGUGAAGAUGCAGUGUACCCGCGGCAAGACGGAAAGACCCCGUGAACCUUUACUAUAGCUUGACACUGAACAUUGAGCCUUGAUGUGUAGGAUAGGUGGGAGGCUUUGAAGCGUGGACGCCAGUCUGCGUGGAGCCAACCUUGAAAUACCACCCUUUAAUGUUUGAUGUUCUAACGUUGGCCCCUUACCGGGGUUGCGGACAGUGUCUGGUGGGUAGUUUGACUGGGGCGGUCUCCUCCCAAAGCGUAACGGAGGAGCACGAAGGUUAGCUAAUCCUGGUCGGACAUCAGGAGGUUAGUGCAAUGGCAUAAGCUAGCUUGACUGCGAGCGUGACGGCGCGAGCAGGUGCGAAAGCAGGUCAUAGUGAUCCGGUGGUUCUGAAUGGAAGGGCCAUCGCUCAACGGAUAAAAGGUACUCCGGGGAUAACAGGCUGAUACCGCCCAAGAGUUCAUAUCGACGGCGGUGUUUGGCACCUCGAUGUCGGCUCAUCACAUCCUGGGGCUGAAGUAGGUCCCAAGGGUAUGGCUGUUCGCCAUUUAAAGUGGUACGCGAGCUGGGUUUAGAACGUCGUGAGACAGUUCGGUCCCUAUCUGCCGUGGGCGCUGGAGAAUUGAGGGGGGCUGCUCCUAGUACGAGAGGACCGGAGUGGACGCAUCACUGGUGUUCGGGUUGUCAUGCCAAUGGCACUGCCCGGUAGCUAAAUGCGGAAGAGAUAAGUGCUGAAAGCAUCUAAGCACGAAACUUGCCCCGAGAUGAGUUCUCCCUGAGACUUUAAGUCUCCUGAAGGAACGUUGAAGACGACGACGUUGAUAGGCCGGGUGUGUAAGCGCAGCGAUGCGUUGAGCUAACCGGUACUAAUGAACCGUGAGGCUUAACC
This 2744-nucleotide ribosomal RNA is filed under the name Klebsiella pneumoniae subsp. pneumoniae. RNAcentral's name for it is "bacterial LSU rRNA". It matches the Rfam family "Bacterial large subunit ribosomal RNA". The record is from RNAcentral. Lineage: Bacteria; Pseudomonadati; Pseudomonadota; Gammaproteobacteria; Enterobacterales; Enterobacteriaceae.